Molecule: long non-coding RNA, 339 nt
Filed under: Daucus carota (carrot)
Lineage: Eukaryota; Viridiplantae; Streptophyta; Magnoliopsida; Apiales; Apiaceae
Description: long non-coding RNA (DCAR_LNC006855)
Source: RNAcentral
UAAAUUCUAAGUUUGGCGAUAAGAGCAUACAUGUCCAGUGUUACUCUCUUUAAAAUAAUACAAAAGCUGCAAAAUGCAAUCAUUAUUGCAGCUGUUGCAUUAUUUUAAAGAGAGUAAAUAAUGGACAUUGCAUUCAUCCAACAAACUAAAUACUGCUGUCAAAUUUACAAGUUAAUCCAUGAAUCGAGAAAUAAACAAACUAAACCUACUGCCUACACAAAACAUAACAUGUAUGUUGGCAGAGUAGCGUAUUACAGUGGAAUACAAAGCACCAACUAGGAAAACAAGAAUGCGAUCAAACAGUGGUAUGUGUCCACCCAAAUUGGCUCAACUGUUAAA